CAACCCUCAAGCACUGCUUGGUGUUGGGGCACUGCUCCUCUCGCGGGGAGCAGGCCCUGAAAUUCAGUGGCGAGCCCGCCAGGCCCCCGAGCGCAGUAGUUAAACCCUCGCUCCGGAAGGCCCUGGCGGUGCCCUGCCGUUAAACCCCCCAACUCUUGAAA
This 161-nucleotide unclassified non-coding RNA is filed under the name uncultured Diaporthales. RNAcentral's name for it is "sequence contains ITS2". The record is from RNAcentral. Lineage: Eukaryota; Fungi; Ascomycota; Sordariomycetes; Diaporthales.